RNAcentral lists this ribosomal RNA (429 nucleotides) under uncultured bacterium. Its description in RNAcentral is "bacterial SSU rRNA". It matches the Rfam family "Bacterial small subunit ribosomal RNA", at positions 954 to 1388 of the family's 1533-position model. The record is from RNAcentral.
GCAAAACGCGAAGAACCUUACCCACCUUUGACAUGUACGGAAUCCUUUAGAGAUAGAGGAGUGCUCGAAAGAGAGCCGUAACACAGGUGCUGCAUGGCUGUCGUCAGCUCGUGUCGUGAGAUGUUGGGUUAAGUCCCGCAACGAGCGCAACCCUUGCCAUUAGUUGCUACGAAAGGGCACUCUAAUGGGACUGCCGGUGACAAACCGGAGGAAGGUGGGGAUGACGUCAAGUCCUCAUGGCCCUUAUAGGUGGGGCUACACACGUCAUACAAUGGCUGGUACAAAGGGGUUGCCAACCCGCGAGGGGAGCUAAUCCCAUAAAGCCAGUCGUAGUCCGGAUCGCAGUCUGCAACUCGACUGCGUGAAGUCGGAAUCGCUAGUAAUCGCGAAUCAGAAUGUCGCGGUGAAUACGUUCCGGGUCUUGUACAC